CAGCCUAGCCAAGGCGGACGGGUGAGUAACGCGUAAGGAACUUGCCCUGCAGUCAGGGAUAACAGACGGAAACGACUGUUAAGACCUGGUAAAGUCAGGCGGACUCAUGUCCAGCCUGAUGAAAAGAGAUGCUGCAGGAGAGCCUUGCGUCCUAUUAGCUUGUUGGUGGGGUAACGGCCCACCAAGGCGAUGAUAGGUAGCCGGCCUGGGAGGGUGGACGGCCACAAGGGGACUGAGAUACGGCCCUUACUCCUACGGGAGGCAGCAGUGGGGAAUAUUGGACAAUGGGGGCAACCCUGAUCCAGCAAUUCUGUGUGCACGAUGAAGGUUUUCGGAUUGUAAAGUGCUUUCAGCAGGGAAGAAAAAAAUGGCGGUACCUGCAGAAGAAGCGACGGCUAAAUACGUGCCAGCAGCCGCGGUAAUACGUAUGUCGCAAGCGUUAUCCGGAAUUAUUGGGCAUAAAGGACAUCUAGGCGGCCAGAUAAGUCUGGGGUGAAAACUUGCGGCUCAACCGCAAGCCUGCCCUGGAAACUAUGUGGCUAGAGUACUGGAGAGGUGGACGGAACUGCACGAGUAGAGGUGAAAUUCGUAGAUAUGUGCAGGAAUGCCGAUGAUGAAGAUAGUUCACUGGACGGUAACUGACGCUGAAGUGCGAAAGCUAGGGGAGCAAACAGGAUUAGAUACCCUGGUAGUCCUAGCUGUAAACGAUGAUUACUGGGUGUGGGCAUGAAGAGUGUCCGUGCCGAAGCUAAUG
This 754-nucleotide ribosomal RNA is filed under the name uncultured Leptotrichia sp. Its description in RNAcentral is "bacterial SSU rRNA". It matches the Rfam family "Bacterial small subunit ribosomal RNA", at positions 85 to 857 of the family's 1533-position model. The record is from RNAcentral. Lineage: Bacteria; Fusobacteriati; Fusobacteriota; Fusobacteriia; Fusobacteriales; Leptotrichiaceae.